UUCGGGAAUGAACGAUCUUGCUGUAAAAAUUUCAGUUAAUACGCUUGUAACAUCCCAACAUUGAGGUAUGUUUCGUAUGUGCUUUGAAUUAGUUGAGCCCUUACAAAUAAGUAUUCGCUCAGUUGAUAAAUGAGCUACCGGCCUUUGGCUAAGUUGAUCUUUUGUGUAUGAACAUAAGGGUUGGUAAUGUGAAGUAAGUAUGAUAUUGAGAAUUUGUGCAUAUGAAAUUAUCCGUUUAGUUAUAUGAAUGCUAUACUUUUGUUGUGCUGGAAUCCCUUGCUCAAAACUUACUAAGCAUAAAUUGCUUACUCCGUUUCUUUGAUUCUCUGUUUUAUAGAUUUUGGUUCUUCAGCUAUCGGACUCGGGAUUUUGAAGUCGAAGUCGCCCACACUAUCAAAGCCCCCCCCUUUUGGUACAAUUUUUGUUGAACUUCGAAAUGGCAUGUAUAGGACUACCCUUUUUGUUGUGGGUCAUGGACCCUUUGGAUUUGUAUAAUUUUGGAUAGCCAUGCGAAAAUGGCUUAUAUAUAUGUUUGAGCAUAAUGUUAUAAUCAUUUGGUAUGGAUAUGGUUAUUGAGAGGUGUGGAUAUGCUUAACAAGGAUUGGCCAU
Molecule: long non-coding RNA, 609 nt
Filed under: Gossypium barbadense (sea-island cotton)
Lineage: Eukaryota; Viridiplantae; Streptophyta; Magnoliopsida; Malvales; Malvaceae
Description: long non-coding RNA (GBAR_LNC004329)
Source: RNAcentral